CCAUUUUGUGUGUGACUGAAGCCCUCGGAGGCCCUUUUGUGCGUGAGAAAAGGCGUUCAGAUGUAUUUGUCACCUAUGUGAAAAUAGCUUUAGUGAUUUACCAAAGUAAAGACAUUAAAGCCACCAAGUGAGCAGCCUAACAAAAUUCCAGAUGUGUAGCUUGGCAGAGAAGGAAUUCCGGGAACCUGAGAAGCAAAAUGAAAGAUUAAGAGGACUUCGAAGACACAUAGAAUCUUUCCUUAUUUUGGGGUAACCUACUUGAUCUAAGCCUUUCAGUCAAUCAGUUAAGAAAUUCAAGCAAGCAGACUCAGUCUGACAUAGGCUGACAAUGCUGUCAGAAACAACUGGCAAGAGGUUUGAUAUUGAUAUAUUAAAGCAUAGUUAUCUUGAAAGCACAUGGAAAUUGCAAAAACCCAGAAGUCAUGACCACAGACUUGAAGGAUCAGGAAUGGAAUAUGAAGAGGGAAAGCUGUCAAGAAGACAUGGAUGAGCUCUCUAACAUGGAACUUGUGGACCAGUACUUUGGGAGAUAAAAAUACACAAUAACUGAGAGUAUGCUUAUAGAACAGUUGAACAGUAACCCUCUUUGAACUUGACUGCUUGCCGAGAAUCAGUGGAUGUUUUCUCACCCAUCAUCUGGAAGAUGUUUUUUGAGAUAGAUUGGAGGCUACUCCCAAGAAGAACAUAUUUUUCUGCCAGAUAGAGCUGAAGAAUAAGUAUGUUAAGCAUAACAUGAAAAAGUAUGUUACAUAAGAAUAAAUC
Molecule: long non-coding RNA, 762 nt
Organism: Crotalus tigris (Tiger rattlesnake)
Lineage: Eukaryota; Metazoa; Chordata; Lepidosauria; Squamata; Viperidae
Exons: 4
Source: RefSeq, a predicted model, not a curated record